GUGAGUAACACGUGGGCAAUCUGCCCUGCACUCUGGGACAAGCCCUGGAAACGGGGUCUAAUACCGGAUAACACUCCUGCACUCAUGUGUGGGGGUUAAAAGCUCCGGCGGUGCAGGAUGAGCCCGCGGCCUAUCAGCUUGUUGGUGAGGUAAUGGCUCACCAAGGCGACGACGGGUAGCCGGCCUGAGAGGGCGACCGGCCACACUGGGACUGAGACACGGCCCAGACUCCUACGGGAGGCAGCAGUGGGGAAUAUUGCACAAUGGGCGAAAGCCUGAUGCAGCGACGCCGCGUGAGGGAUGACGGCCUUCGGGUUGUAAACCUCUUUCAGCAGGGAAGAAGCGCAAGUGACGGUACCUGCAGAAGAAGCGCCGGCUAACUACGUGCCAGCAGCCGCGGUAAUACGUAGGGCGCAAGCGUUGUCCGGAAUUAUUGGGCGUAAAGAGCUCGUAGGCGGCUUGUCACGUCGGGUGUGAAAGCCCGGGGCUUAACCCCGGGUCUGCAUUCGAUACGGGCUAGCUAGAGUGUGGUAGGGGAGAUCGGAAUUCCUGGUGUAGCGGUGAAAUGCGCAGAUAUCAGGAGGAACACCGGUGGCGAAGGCGGAUCUCUGGGCCAUUACUGACGCUGAGGAGCGAAAGCGUGGGGAGCGAACAGGAUUAGAUACCCUGGUAGUCCACGCCGUAAACGGUGGGAACUAGGUGUUGGCGACAUUCCACGUCGUCGGUGCCGCAGCUAACGCA
This 741-nucleotide ribosomal RNA is filed under the name Streptomyces mirabilis. Its description in RNAcentral is "bacterial SSU rRNA". It matches the Rfam family "Bacterial small subunit ribosomal RNA", at positions 106 to 859 of the family's 1533-position model. Lineage: Bacteria; Bacillati; Actinomycetota; Actinomycetes; Kitasatosporales; Streptomycetaceae. The record is from RNAcentral.